RNAcentral lists this long non-coding RNA (202 nucleotides) under Olea europaea (common olive). RNAcentral describes it as "long non-coding RNA (OEUR_LNC014871)". Lineage: Eukaryota; Viridiplantae; Streptophyta; Magnoliopsida; Lamiales; Oleaceae. The record is from RNAcentral.
CUUUCUAUAGGAAAUCAAGAAACCAAGCAAUAAAGCCCAUAAUAUUGAGAGACAGAAGCAUAAAUUCAAAAAUUUUUAUUGACUAAUAUCAUGAAGAUAAGGAAUCAAAGUUCUCUGAAAGCAUAUUUUUUCAAUCCUUUCAAAUUUCAUCAUCUUAAGCUUUAUUGAUAUCAUUGUGUGAUAAAAAUAAAGUUGUUUUUUC